GUGGGGAAUCUUGCGCAAUGGGCGAAAGCCUGACGCAGCCAUGCCGCGUGAAUGAUGAAGGUCUUAGGAUUGUAAAAUUCUUUCACCGGGGACGAUAAUGACGGUACCCGGAGAAGAAGCUCCGGCUAACUUCGUGCCAGCAGCCGCGGUAAUACGAAGGGGGCUAGCGUUGCUCGGAAUUACUGGGCGUAAAGGGCGCGUAGGCGGACAGCUUAGUCAGAGGUGAAAGCCCAGGGCUCAACCUUGGAAUUGCCUUUGAUACUGGCUGGCUUGAGUUUGGUAGGAGUGAGUGGAACUCCGGGUGUAGAGGUGAAAUUCGUAGAUAUUCGGAAGAACACCAGUGGCGAAGGCGACUCACUGGCCCAAUACUGACGCUGAGGCGCGAAAGCGUGGGGAGCAAACAGGAUUAGAAACCCCGGUAGUCC
This 425-nucleotide ribosomal RNA is filed under the name uncultured bacterium. Its description in RNAcentral is "partial 16S ribosomal RNA". It matches the Rfam family "Bacterial small subunit ribosomal RNA", at positions 354 to 796 of the family's 1533-position model. The record is from RNAcentral.